UACGGAGGGUGCGAGCGUUGUCCGGAAUUACUGGGCGUAAAGGGCUCGUAGGUGGCCAACUAAGUCAGACGUGAAAUCCCUCGGCUUAACCGGGGAACUGCCCUCCAAACUGCUUCGCUUGAGACCGGGAGAGGUGAGUGGAAUUCCCAGUGUAGCGGUGAAAUGCGUAGAUAUUGGGAGGAACACCAGUGGCGAAGGCGGCUCACUGGACCGGUACUGACGCUGAUGCGCGAAAGCUAGGGGAGCAAACAGG
Molecule: ribosomal RNA, 253 nt
Filed under: uncultured bacterium
Lineage: Bacteria
Description: partial 16S ribosomal RNA
Rfam family: Bacterial small subunit ribosomal RNA
Source: RNAcentral